GCGGGCGAGGUUGCUUCGGUAACUGAGCUAGCGGCGGACGGGUGAGUAAUGCUUAGGAAUCUGCCUAUUAGUGGGGGACAACAUUCCGAAAGGAAUGCUAAUACCGCAUACGCCCUACGGGGGAAAGCAGGGGAUCUUCGGACCUUGCGCUAAUAGAUGAGCCUAAGUCAGAUUAACUAGUUGGUGGGGUAAAGGCCUACCAAGGCGACGAUCUGUAGCGGGUCUGAGAGGAUGAUCCGCCACACUGGGACUGAGACACGGCCCAGACUCCUACGGGAGGCAGCAGUGGGGAAUAUUGGACAAUGGGCGCAAGCCUGAUCCAGCCAUGCCGCGUGUGUGAAGAAGGCCUUUUGGUUGUAAAGCACUUUAAGCGAGGAGGAGGCUACUUGGAUUAAUACUCUAGGAUAGUGGACGUUACUCGCAGAAUAAGCACCGGCUAACUCUGUGCCAGCAGCCGCGGUAAUACAGAGGGUGCGAGCGUUAAUCGGAUUUACUGGGCGUAAAGCGUGCGUAGGCGGCUUUUUAAGUCGGAUGUGAAAUCCCUGAGCUUAACUUAGGAAUUGCAUUCGAUACUGGGAAGCUAGAGUAUGGGAGAGGAUGGUAGAAUUCCAGGUGUAGCGGUGAAAUGCGUAGAGAUCUGGAGGAAUACCGAUGGCGAAGGCAGCCAUCUGGCCUAAUACUGACGCUGAGGUACGAAGCAUGGGGAGCAAACAGGAUUAGAUACCCUGGUAGUCCAUGCCGUAAACGAUGUCUA
Molecule: ribosomal RNA, 754 nt
Filed under: uncultured bacterium
Lineage: Bacteria
Description: bacterial SSU rRNA
Rfam family: Bacterial small subunit ribosomal RNA
Source: RNAcentral